GAUGAACGCUGGCGGCGUGCCUAAUACAUGCAAGUCGAGCGAACGGACGAGGAGCUUGCUUUUCUGACGUUAGCGGCGGACGGGUGAGUAACACGUGGAUAACCUACCUAUAAGACUGGGAUAACUUCGGGAAACCGGAGCUAAUACCGGAUAAUAUAUUGAACCGCAUGGUUCAAAAGUGAAAGACGGUUUUGCUGUCACUUAUAGAUGGAUCCGCGCUGCAUUAGCUAGUUGGUAAGGUAACGGCUUACCAAGGCAACGAUGCAUAGCCGACCUGAGAGGGUGAUCGGCCACACUGGAACUGAGACACGGUCCAGACUCCUACGGGAGGCAGCAGUAGGGAAUCUUCCGCAAUGGGCGAAAGCCUGACGGAGCAACGCCGCGUGAGUGAUGAAGGUCUUCGGAUCGUAAAACUCUGUUAUUAGGGAAGAACAUAUGUGUAAGUAACUAUGCACGUCUUGACGGUACCUAAUCAGAAAGCCACGGCUAACUACGUG
RNAcentral lists this ribosomal RNA (497 nucleotides) under uncultured bacterium. RNAcentral describes it as "partial 16S ribosomal RNA". It matches the Rfam family "Bacterial small subunit ribosomal RNA", at positions 28 to 507 of the family's 1533-position model. The record is from RNAcentral.